GAUGCUGUCCCCACUACUGAUCACGGGACAGCGGUCCCUGACCGGCGUGCUGGGGUGGGGGACACACCUGUCUCCCCUGCACCGGCGGUACUGCCCUCCGACCACAACACAUUUUCCUGUCAAAGCCUAUCAGAGCCAAGAGAACGAAGGGGCGCCUGGUUCACUCCGGGGGGUCUGCACUGCUUUAGCUGACUGCUGAUGAGGUCUUUGUAGCCCCAAGUUAUCCAGUGCCAAGGCUGUGCUCCUUUUUUCAUCAUCAUAUGCCUCUUCUACAGUGUCCUGUGAGUCCACUCUCAGGGGACUCUGCUGUCAUACCAGUGUUUUGGCAGACUAGGAUAAAAGGGACGCUGGCCUCUGCCCUACUGCUGUUCAGGAAACACGUCCAGCUCGUGCCCUGCUAACUGAGGUUUCUUCCUUUGCUGGGAGCCGUUCCUGCAGGCUGGAAAUCUGCUUCUUGGACACCGGUUUCCAGAGACGCAGUGUCAUCAUCCCCAUUUCCCCAGGGCGGAGGAGGCAGAAGGAGCGGCGGUGGCUGCCGUCGGGGCACCCGGAGAAGCAGUGCUCCGGCGGGCUGUCCGGCCGAGCGCAGGCUGCCGAUGUCUGUGCCCCGGGGAGCGCCGUGCUCGCCACACGGGAGCCGCUCCAGCACCUCGGAGAGCUCCCGGGGCCGGGCCGCGCCCGCCGGCGCCGCCUCCCCCGUCCCGGAGGGGCCGCAAUUCCAGCGGCAGGCACUGCUCCUGGCAGCUGGCUCUCCGGGCGUUGCUUCAAAUCGAGCUCCUUCGUUUUGUUUCGGAACUGGCAUGGGUUUAAGCUCGCAUUAGUAUCUCCACGCCCGGAGAAGGAAAGACCACGGUUGCAAUGUCCAAGGAGCUUCUGCCCUGCCCUCCCAGGAGGGAGCACGAAGGGAAACUGGUUUUCCCCCAAUCCUGGGUUUUUUCCUCCCUCUUAGGGGAAGCUGGGGCGUGUCCCCCAUGGUCUCCCGAGUUCACUGUUCACUCUGAGUCCCAGAAACGCUGACUUUAAUUGUACCCCCGCUCCCUGCUCAGGCUGCUCUAUCAUCUGAGAAAUACUCAUGAGGUCUCAGCCUUGACAAGCUGCACCUGGACUAAGCCCCUCUCCAGCUUAUCAGAAACACUGUCUGUUCCCAGGAAAUAGUGUUGUCUAGUGAGCAUUUGUUUUUUAACAAGUGGCCUUGGGAACUUAAUUUUUCUUGUCUGAAUAACAACUCAAAUGGAAUAAUAUUUCUGUUGACGAACCUUCAAAAAAAGUUACCAACUCAAAUUGUGGCCAGUAUGAAAAAUAAUUAUGACUAAACCAAAUUUUCUUAUAAUCCUGUGGACAGUGGUCCAAAGUGAGAUCCUUUUGAGCUCUCAGUUUCCAAAAGACAAGGGGAUGAUGUGUAUGUCUCAAAUACUGAUGACCGGAUGGCUGUG
RNA transcript from Catharus ustulatus (Swainson's thrush), 1433 nucleotides. RefSeq lists it as uncharacterized. The record is from RefSeq and is a predicted model, not a curated record. The transcript has 3 exons. NCBI's taxonomy places the organism in Eukaryota, Metazoa, Chordata, Aves, Passeriformes, Turdidae.